AGAGUGAACGCUGGCGGUAGGCCUAACACAUGCAAGUCGAACGGCAGCACAGUAGGAGCUUGCUCUUACGGGUGGCGAGUGGCGGACGGGUGAGGAAUACAUCGGAAUCUACCUUUUGGUGGGGGAUAACGUAGGGAAACUUACGCUAAUACCGCAUACGCCCUUCGGGGGAAAGCCGGGGACCAGCAAUGGCCUGGCGCUGAUAGAUGAGCCGAUGUCGGAUUAGCUAGUUGGUGAGGUAAUGGCUCACCGAAGGCGACGAUCCGUAGCUGGUCUGGAGAGGAUGAUCAGCCACACUGGAACUGAGACCACGGUCCAGACCUCCGUACGGGAGCAGCAGGUGGGAAUAGUGGACGAAUGGGCCGACAAGCCUGACUCCGACGACCCACGUACCCGGCGGUGGGUA
Molecule: ribosomal RNA, 406 nt
Filed under: uncultured soil bacterium
Lineage: Bacteria
Description: bacterial SSU rRNA
Rfam family: Bacterial small subunit ribosomal RNA
Source: RNAcentral